Proteiniborus sp. DW1 is the source of this 72-nucleotide transfer RNA. It matches the Rfam family "tRNA". From Rfam's summary of the family: Transfer RNA (tRNA) molecules are approximately 80 nucleotides in length. The record is from Rfam. Lineage: Bacteria; Bacillati; Bacillota; Clostridia; Eubacteriales.
GGCCCUAUGGUCAAGCGGUUAAGACAUCGCCCUUUCACGGCGGUAACCCGGGUUCGAAUCCCGGUAGGGUCA